RNAcentral lists this ribosomal RNA (143 nucleotides) under Dasyprocta sp. 1 EG-2017. Its description in RNAcentral is "partial 12S ribosomal RNA". The record is from RNAcentral. Lineage: Eukaryota; Metazoa; Chordata; Mammalia; Rodentia; Dasyproctidae.
CCCAAACUGGGAUUAGAUACCCCACUAUGCCUAGCCAUAAACAUAAAAAUUUUAUAACAAAAAUUCUCGCCCGAGAACUACUAGCUAUAGCUUAAAACUCAAAGGACUUGGCGGUGCUUUACACCCACCUAGAGGAGCCUGUU